AUCAUAGAACAAAAGCCCCAAAUUUUCAGUGAAAAAGGUGUAAAGAUUUUCUACAUCACAUAUACUUCCAUUGCUCAUUACACAUGCAUAAAUCCCCAUGCAUCCUUAUGAUUGCAAUGCGAUGGUGAUGGAUCCACUUACAUAAACAACGAUGGUGUCCUCUCCACUUCUCUUCUCACAGCUCUCACCUGCCCAACAAUGGCUGCCUACCAACAGUCACUUCUUCAAACCUUACCUUAGCAAAAGAGAGAGAAAUGGCGGAAAAAUGAGUCUCGUGGGUUAGAGAAGAGGGUUAAGUACUCUUGAAGGUAGGGUAGCUGUCCUAGUGGCGCCAAAAGGCUUAAAAAUCUGGGCAAGUGGCUAAAGUCAGCAUGCACUCUCCAAGUGGCACUCCCACCUCAAGCAUGCCAGAAACACGGGCGGU
This 424-nucleotide long non-coding RNA is filed under the name Amborella trichopoda. Its description in RNAcentral is "long non-coding RNA (ATRI_LNC000626)". Lineage: Eukaryota; Viridiplantae; Streptophyta; Magnoliopsida; Amborellales; Amborellaceae. The record is from RNAcentral.